GACGAACGCUGGCGGCGUGCUUAACACAUGCAAGUCGAACGGAAAGGCCCUGCUUUUGUGGGGUGCUCGAGUGGCGAACGGGUGAGUAACACGUGAGUAACCUGCCCUUGACUUUGGGAUAACUUCAGGAAACUGGGGCUAAUACCGGAUAGGAGCUCCUGCUGCAUGGUGGGGGUUGGAAAGUUUCGGCGGUUGGGGAUGGACUCGCGGCUUAUCAGCUUGUUGGUGGGGUAGUGGCUUACCAAGGCUUUGACGGGUAGCCGGCCUGAGAGGGUGACCGGCCACAUUGGGACUGAGAUACGGCCCAGACUCCUACGGGAGGCAGCAGUGGGGAAUAUUGCACAAUGGGCGGAAGCUUGAUGCAGCGACGCCGCGUGCGGGAUGACGGCCUUCGGGUUGUAAACCGCUUUCGCCUGUGACGAAGCGUGAGUGACGGUAAUGGGUAAAGAAGCACCGGCUAACUACGUG
Molecule: ribosomal RNA, 468 nt
Filed under: uncultured bacterium
Lineage: Bacteria
Description: partial 16S ribosomal RNA
Rfam family: Bacterial small subunit ribosomal RNA
Source: RNAcentral